UCCGUUGUAGUCUAGUUGGUUAGGAUACUCGGCUCUCGCCUGAGAGACCUGGGUUCAAGUCCCGGCAAUAA
Molecule: transfer RNA, 71 nt
Filed under: Salvia splendens (bonfire salvia)
Lineage: Eukaryota; Viridiplantae; Streptophyta; Magnoliopsida; Lamiales; Lamiaceae
Description: tRNA-Glu
Rfam family: tRNA
About the family: Transfer RNA (tRNA) molecules are approximately 80 nucleotides in length. Their secondary structure includes four short double-helical elements and three loops (D, anti-codon, and T loops).
Source: RNAcentral